This 540-nucleotide ribosomal RNA is filed under the name Betta burdigala. Its description in RNAcentral is "partial 16S ribosomal RNA". It matches the Rfam family "Bacterial large subunit ribosomal RNA", at positions 1856 to 2597 of the family's 2925-position model. The record is from RNAcentral. Lineage: Eukaryota; Metazoa; Chordata; Actinopteri; Anabantiformes; Osphronemidae.
CGCCUGCCCUGUGACAAAGGUUUAACGGCCGCGGUAUUUUGACCGUGCAAAGGUAGCGCAAUCACUUGUCCUUUAAAUGAAGACCUGUAUGAAUGGCAUCACGAGGGCUUAACUGUCUCCUUUUUCCAGUCAAUGAAAUUGAUCCCCCCGUGCAGAAGCGGGGAUAAAACCAUAAGACGAGAAGACCCUAUGAAGCUUUAGACGCAAAACAGAUCUUGUUAAACACUUCAAAAUAAAGAAACGAACUAAAAGAGUGCUGUCCUAAUGUCUUUGGUUGGGGCGACCACGGGGAAACGAAAAACCCCCAUGCGGACUGAGAAAACAAUUUCUCACAACCAAGAGCCACAGCUCUAGUUAACAGAAUUUCUGACCUUUAGAUCCGGCAAUGCCGAUCAACGGACCGAGUUACUCUAGGGAUAACAGCGCAAUCCUCUUUUAGAGUUCCUAUCGACAAGGGGGUUUACGACCUCGAUGUUGGAUCAGGGCAUCCUAAUGGUGCAGCAGCUAUUAAGGGUUCGUUUGUUCAACGAUUAAAGUCCU